This is a small nuclear RNA of 126 nucleotides. Its record names the gene U2. It matches the Rfam family "U2 spliceosomal RNA". Rfam says of the family: U2 is a small nuclear RNA (snRNA) component of the spliceosome (involved in pre-mRNA splicing). Complementary binding between U2 snRNA (in an area lying towards the 5' end but 3' to hairpin I) and the branchpoint sequence (BPS) of the intron results the bulging out of an unpaired adenosine, on the BPS, which initiates a nucleophilic attack at the intronic 5' splice site, thus starting the first of two transesterification reactions that mediate splicing. The record is from Ensembl.
AAUGCUUCUCUACCUUUUGGCUAAGAUCGAGUGUAGUAUCUGUUCUUACUAUUUUAAUUAUACCCACUGAAAUUAGUUUUUAAGAAGAGCAGUGAAAGUCAUUUUCUGAGGCUAUCAAAAGCCACU